This 1483-nucleotide long non-coding RNA is filed under the name Capra hircus (goat). RNAcentral describes it as "lncRNA (ENSCHIG00010008582.1)". Lineage: Eukaryota; Metazoa; Chordata; Mammalia; Artiodactyla; Bovidae. The record is from RNAcentral.
AUGUCAACCUCUCUAACACAACCCAUGAGGCCAGAGUCUAAGCCCAGCUUCGAUCCCUCUUCUUCUAGCAAAACCAAUCUGCAAGCACUUCCCCAAGGGCUCAGGAUGAACCACAUGAGUGCUGCUAAAUCACUUCAGUCGUGUUCAACUCUUUGCAACCCUGUGGACUGCAGCCCGCCAGGGCCCUCUGUCAAUGGGAUUCUCCAGGCAAGAAUACUGGAGUGGGUUGCCAUGCCCUCCUCCAGCACGACCCACACUCUCUGUUUAUGUUGGUCUCUUGAUCUGGGAAACACUUUCCACCUUUCAUCUGGCUAAUUCUUACUGGAUUCUUCAUUUCCCAUCUUCUACUCCAGGAAGUCUUAAGUCCAGACUGGAUCAGGGCCUCCCUUUGUCCUCUCUAUGCAUUGUUCUGCUAUAGCAUCUUCCACAAUACAGUGUAUUAAUAAUCACCUAUUUAUGUGUCUCUCUACCCUACCAGAUUGUGAGCUUUUAGGGAAAACGACUGUAUCCUGUUUAUCCUGAACUCCCCAUGCCUAGGUCAAGAUAAGUGUACUAGAAAUGUUUGUUGUUCAAAUAUAAACUGUGUAUUCUUGAGAAGCAACAAGGUGUAGCAGAAAGAGCAUUGGACAGGACCGGCAAACAGGUGGUGAGCGCCUUUUGGUAACCUCACCAAAACCAGUGAUCACUGCGUCUAGAAGAGGGAUGGAGGCUGCCUCUGAGCUGAGCCAGGAAACCAGAAGACCUAUUAGCACUUUCUCCAUGGGCAUGGAAUGGGGUCACAGUAGACCUCCUGUGACUGUGACCUUUCUGCCCUUGCUACAUAGGCUCCAAGGGGAAAGUCUCCUUCCAAUCCUGGCUUCAUCACUUACGAGCUACCAGUUAUUUAUUAUGCCUGAGCUUCAUCUCUCUGUAACUGUGUCCACUCUCUAUCACAGUUGCUAAGAAAUAAUGUAGAUACAAGCAUUUACAGAAGUGGAUAGUCCUUGAACAAACUGGGUCUUAGUAUUAUUUUAAUUCCUAACAGAAUCAAGCAAUGGUGGUAAAUGCUCAGUUAACAUCUAAUGAAUGAUUAUCUAUCACUGCUAUUAGCAAUCAUAUAUAUCUAUCAUUGUAUCUAUCAUAUAUAUUAUCAUGAUAUUCAUUAUAUCUUGCCAUUGCCUAAGUGCUCUGCCAUAUUUCAAUUACUUCUGACAUAUUUCAGUUGCUAAAAGUGCUUUUGAGUCAACUAUUGGGAAUGGUGUUACUUCAGAAAUGUUUCUUUUAAGCUUGGCUAAGUAAAUAAACAUUUACAGUUAUCUGUACACCUUCAUAAUGUGGGAAUCCCCAUCUAAAAAUCUACAUAAAGUCUUUUAUUUCUACUGUAAGGUACAAACUUUUCUGCUCAGUUGCACUUGUAACUGGGACUUGUCUGCCUGAAAAUACAUUCUUGCUUCAGUAUAUAUAUGGUUAAUUAAAUAAAAGAGUUACAUGGUAACUUGAGUGU